UACGUAGGGGGCUAGCGUUGUCCGGAAUCAUUGGGCGUAAAGAGCGCGUAGGCGGCCAGAUAAGUCCGGUGUGAAAGUCAAAGGCUCAACCUUUGAAUGCCGCUGGAAACUGUCUGGCUAGAGUCCGGGAGGGGCGAGUGGAAUUCCUGGUGUAGCGGUGAAAUGCGCAGAUAUCAGGAGGAACACCAAUGGCGAAGGCAGCUCGCUGGAACGGUACUGACGCUGAGGAGCGAAAGCGUGGGGAGCGAACAGG
Molecule: ribosomal RNA, 253 nt
Filed under: uncultured bacterium
Lineage: Bacteria
Description: partial 16S ribosomal RNA
Rfam family: Bacterial small subunit ribosomal RNA
Source: RNAcentral